UAAUAUACUUCUAACCUAACAACACUUGUUUCAAGUAUGUCUACGGCGUGACUUGAACCCUCAACCUCAAGGAGGAAGGGCACCACCUGAUAUCGCUGGGCUACAACGAAAUGACUUCUUUUUAUUUUUAUUUUUUUAAUGGUUUUUAAUUUUCAAAUUUCAAUAUCUUAAAUAAAUAACCGUUCAGAAGACCUUUAACCUAAUCGGCCGGAUCGAAACAAGCUUGUUAAUCUCAGCCGUCUAUUAUAUCAACAUUCGGAUCUAACCAGUUGCCCUUCCUCUAUAUAACAACUCGUUUCCUCUUUCCCAGACUCAGCUUUCAAUUAGGGUUUACGUUUUAUCAAACAUCUGAUUAUUUCUCCGCCGUUGGAGUCUACAAGGAUUUAAAACUCUACAAACCCUAGAAGGGUUAGAUUUUCGUUCAAGGAGGGUGUAAAAAGGGGUUGCAUUUUGAAGGAAAGAGUUAGCAUCUAGUGUUUGAUCCAUGGUUGUUAGAAAUAUCAUCCAUAAUUAAUGACUUUAGAUGCUAUUGCAAUCGGUCUUUCAUUUGGAUAAAUCAACAACUGUUUUAAUGUCUUUAGAUAUUAUUUCAAUCAGUCUCUUAUUUAUUUGGAUAAAUCAAUAACUAUAUGAAAUCUAAUAUUUUUAAAUAAUCAAAAGAGAGUAGGUUCUAAACAUGCAAAAUGAACACAAUAAUAAUGAAUUAACAGAAAUGGUAGCAAAACCAGCUUAAAUUAACACAAAUGGUAGCCAAACCAACUUAUUAUUAACUCACCACAAAAUAAUCAUCAAAUUAGUUAUACUUUUAUUUUUUAUAAGUUUCAAAGUAUAUGAUAUAUGCAUAUCUAUAUACAUAUUUUACAUAAUAUCUUAAUAUUUCUAGUCAUUUUUAUGCCCUUUAUAUAACAAAAAGGUACAUAAUCUAUUGUAUGAUGUGUUGUAGUGGUAAAAUAGAUGCUCGGAGCAAAAAAGAAGUUGAAAGUUGGAAGCUAGGAAUUUGGAUGACGAUAAAAAAAUGAAGAAAAAUACACUCUCCACGUUGUGGCAACAUUCCCACGACGUGGCUUUUUGGAUUUUCCCGAUGAAUCUAGAAGACUUGUUGAAUACAAGAUAAACACGAAGGCCACGACUUCGUGGUGAUAUGUUUUCGGGAAAACUAUACAUUGAAGCCAUUAUCCUCCGAAAAUAGAACUUUGGCCAGAAGCUAUUGUCGUCUUUUGAAGGCCGAGUACCCACUUUGAAGUUUGGAGUUGCGAAAGUCGAUCAUAGCUUGGAAUCGAGAUAAUUGAGGCAAUACAACAUUCUAUUACGAUUUUCUACUUAAGUUUAAUCUUGUCUAUUAUGAUGAAUUUUGUUUUGCUGUUUUUACUUGCUGAAAUCAUGGGCUAAAACCCUAUGACUUUCGUUAAGUUUAGAUUGACUUUUUAUGUCUUGAUUUAUGGUUUAAGUUAUGUUUUGUUGGUUAUUUGUUACUUUACCUUAUUAAAGAACCUUCUAUGCUUAUGAGAACUACUUUUAUGUUUA
Non-coding RNA from Lactuca sativa (garden lettuce), 1524 nucleotides. NCBI's taxonomy places the organism in Eukaryota, Viridiplantae, Streptophyta, Magnoliopsida, Asterales, Asteraceae. The record is from RefSeq and is a predicted model, not a curated record.